Molecule: unclassified non-coding RNA, 279 nt
Filed under: plant metagenome
Description: partial contains small subunit ribosomal RNA, internal transcribed spacer 1, and 5.8S ribosomal RNA
Source: RNAcentral
UCUCCGUAGGUGAACCUGCGGAGGGAUCAUUAGUGAGUUGAAUAUGUAAGCAAACCUUCUCGGAGUCUCUAUCAUCAAGUCAUAUCCAUAACACCAGUAAACCGUAAGCCUGCGUUGAAAACGAAAGUGAUGACAGCUACUUCCUAUUUUAUACAAACAGUAGAGUAACAAACGUAGUCUCCAUAUAAUCUAAUAAAACUUUCAACAACGAAUCACUUCGAUCCCCCAUCGAUGAAGAACGCAGCAGAUCGGAAGAACGCACGACUGAACUCCAGUACC